This 414-nucleotide long non-coding RNA is filed under the name Nicotiana benthamiana. Its description in RNAcentral is "long non-coding RNA (NBEN_LNC002199)". Lineage: Eukaryota; Viridiplantae; Streptophyta; Magnoliopsida; Solanales; Solanaceae. The record is from RNAcentral.
UCAAUUUGCUGCCAUAUUUGCUCAGCAUCAAAACCAUCCGUCAAGAGUUGAGCGAAAGGUGAUUUCGGGGUGUAGGGUUUGAGAGAAGAGUAUAGAUACUUGGAGGCUAAUCGAGCUGCUUCGGAAAGGUCCGGUGAUGCUGAGAGGUAGAGAGGUGCAUCAGUGGAUUUGAGCCGCCGGAGAGCCCUAACGCCGCCAGCAUUUUGGCUGUCGUCCGCCGUGGUUGCCAUGGCGGAGAAUGACGUUGUUCUUGUUGAGGUUUGUAGGGUUUAAGGAAGACUUGAGGUUUUUCUUUCUUUCAAAAAUUUUAAUUUUUAUUUCUAUAUAUGGUCCGUAACCCGACCCGGAUGGGGGGUUUUGCCCUUUUAAUAUGGAGUGCUAAAGAUGAGGAACAUCCAUCUUACUUUUGUACUU